RNAcentral lists this ribosomal RNA (496 nucleotides) under uncultured bacterium. RNAcentral describes it as "partial 16S ribosomal RNA". It matches the Rfam family "Bacterial small subunit ribosomal RNA", at positions 29 to 507 of the family's 1533-position model. The record is from RNAcentral.
AUGAACGCUGGCGGCGUGCCUAAUACAUGCAAGUCGAGCGAACGGACGAGAAGCUUGCUUCUCUGAUGUUAGCGGCGGACGGGUGAGUAACACGUGGAUAACCUACCUAUAAGACUGGGAUAACUUCGGGAAACCGGAGCUAAUACCGGAUAAUAUUUUGAACCGCAUGGUUCAAAAGUGAAAGACGGUCUUGCUGUCACUUAUAGAUGGAUCCGCGCUGCAUUAGCUAGUUGGUAAGGUAACGGCUUACCAAGGCAACGAUGCAUAGCCGACCUGAGAGGGUGAUCGCCCACACGGGAACUGAGACACGGUCCAGACGCCUACGGGAGGCAGCAGUAGGGAAUCUUACGCAAUGGGCGAAAGCCUGACGGAGCAACGCCGCGUGAGUGAUGAAGGUCUUCGGAUCGGAAAACUCUGUUAUUAGGGAAGAACAUAUGUGUAAGUAACUGUGCACAUCUUGACGGUACCUAAUCAGAAAGCCACGGCUAACUACGUG